This 193-nucleotide unclassified non-coding RNA is filed under the name uncultured Polyporales. Its description in RNAcentral is "sequence contains ITS2". The record is from RNAcentral. Lineage: Eukaryota; Fungi; Basidiomycota; Agaricomycetes; Polyporales.
AAUCUUCAACCUGCAAGCUUAUGUGGUUUGUAGGCUUGGACUUGGAGGCUUUGUCGGCCAUGCCCGGUCGGCUCCUCUCAAAUGCAUUAGCUUGGUUUCUUGCGGAUCGGCUCUUGGUGUGAUAAUGUCUACGCCGUGACCGUGAAGCGUUUGGCAAGCUUCUAAUCGUCUUGGUUAGAGACAGCUUUAUGAC